This is a long non-coding RNA of Balaenoptera ricei (Rice's whale), 1063 nucleotides long. RefSeq lists it as uncharacterized. Lineage: Eukaryota; Metazoa; Chordata; Mammalia; Artiodactyla; Balaenopteridae. The record is from RefSeq and is a predicted model, not a curated record. The transcript is spliced from 2 exons.
GUGGGCAGCAGCUUCCAGUGGACACUGACAACUGCCCAGGCCUCCCUGGGCUUCCUGCUGUGUUAUCUCUCCACAUCAGGCCUUCCUCCGCUCCUGCAGCCAGCAGAGUGACACUCUCUCUGGCUUCCUCUUUAUCCAAGGGCUGGGACCUACUGACUUCAGCAUCCCCCUCACUCUCUCUCAUUCCUUGGGGAUGCUGACAUCCUUUCUCACCACUCUGAGCGUCGAGCGCAGAUACAAAACAAGGAAGGAAGCCGCUUGUGCUCUAAACCAUCGGUCACGGACGGAGGAGGUCCCACAGAAGCCAAGUAGGGACACUGCAGCUGAAGGAUUCACCCCACGAGUGCUUCUCCACCAUUCACUCGGAGCCAGGCUCUCUGCAGACGCUGGCAGCAGGAUGGCAAGCAGCGCGACUGUACUCUGAUCCUGCCCUCACGGGAUGGUCAUCCAAGGAUCCAGGAAACCAGACUAUGCCACUGCUGAUAGGUGAGCUGACCAAUCUCACCCAAAGUCCUGUGCUGUAAGUUUGCUUAAGUGGCCAGGGCUGAGCAGAGGCUCGGGCUUGUGAAAUAAUAAGAAAUACAUAUAUUGGUCUCUGCCCCCAGUUCCUGCUAAUAUUUGGUUUUUGACCCCAGUUCCUGACACAGAGCUCCUAAAUCCCUUGGAAUUUCCUGGGCAAGAUGAGCAUCUUUUUUUCUAAUGAGGAGACACUGCGUGGGCUCCUGGUUGGGGGCUGGUCACCAGAAAGACCAAGCCAGGCUUAUAAGUUUGGAACUUUCAGCCCUACCCCUCCAUCCUCCAGGGAGGGGAGAGGGGCUGGAAAAUAAGUUAAUAAUCAAUCAUGCCUACAUGAUGAAGCCUCCUCAAUGUACAGGAUUCAGAGAGCUUCGAGGUUGGUGAACACAACCACAUGCCAAGAGGGUAACACACCCCAACUACACCAGGCAGAAGCUUCUGUACUCAGGACCCUUCCAGACCUUUUCCUAAGUAUCUCUUCAUCCAACUGUUCAACUGUAUCCUUCAUCAUACUCUUUAUAAUAAACUGGUAAAUGUGUUUCCCUAA